UACGAAGGGGGCGAGCGUUGUUCGGAUUUACUGGGCGUAAAGCGUGCGUAGACGGUUAUUUAAGUCGGGUGUGAAAGCCCCAGGCUCAACCUGGGAAUUGCAUUCGAGACUGAAUAGCUAGGGUACGGUAGAGGGAAGCGGAAUUUCCGGUGUAGCGGUGAAAUGCGUAGAUAUCGGAAGGAACAUCAGUGGCGAAAGCGGCUUCCUGGUCCAGUACCGACGUUCAGGCACGAAAGCGUGGGGAGCAAACAGG
RNAcentral lists this ribosomal RNA (253 nucleotides) under uncultured bacterium. RNAcentral's name for it is "partial 16S ribosomal RNA". It matches the Rfam family "Bacterial small subunit ribosomal RNA", at positions 524 to 776 of the family's 1533-position model. The record is from RNAcentral.